This 379-nucleotide unclassified non-coding RNA is filed under the name Hevea brasiliensis (rubber tree). Lineage: Eukaryota; Viridiplantae; Streptophyta; Magnoliopsida; Malpighiales; Euphorbiaceae. The record is from RNAcentral.
GCCAGUUCCAGCUUGAACCGGUGGUUUUGGGUUGGUUCCGAUUCAAAUUCAAUGAGGGGGGACCAGAACCAGCCACCCUAUACCCCGAUUCUGGGACAGUUCAUGAAAUAAAACCAUUGACCUGAUUUGGUUCAUGAUUUGAACUGGCUGCUGUCCAAGUCCAUAUCUAAGUCUAUAUCCAAGAACCCAUCAGUCAAGUCAAUACAACACUAGAACAAUUGCCACUGUUUAAAUUUAGACUGAUAAAAAAGAUAAGAGAAAAUAAUAAGAGAAUGAUUUUAAGUGCUUCAGCUAUGAAGAGCCUACAUCCACGGACACAACCUCAAAGGUUUACAUUUCAUUCUCUUGCACAUUAGCAUAAUAUAUAAGAGUCCAUAUU